RNAcentral lists this unclassified non-coding RNA (321 nucleotides) under uncultured fungus. RNAcentral describes it as "partial contains 5.8S ribosomal RNA and internal transcribed spacer 2". The stretch from base 1 to 133 matches the Rfam family "5.8S ribosomal RNA", at positions 22 to 154 of the family's 154-position model. Lineage: Eukaryota; Fungi. The record is from RNAcentral.
UGGUUCUGGCAUNGAUGAAGAACGCAGCGAAAUGCGAUAAGUAAUGUGAAUUGCAGAAUUCAGUGAAUCAUCGAAUCUUUGAACGCACAUUGCGCCCGCUAGUAUUCUGGCGGGCAUGCCUGUUCGAGCGUCAUUUCAACCCUCAGGCUCUCGCCUGGUGAUGGGGCUUCUCCCGCGUUGCUGCGGGGCCCCGAAUUACAGUGGCGGACUCUGUCAUACUCCGAGCGAAGUAAUUUCUCCCGCUCAGGGCGUGUGGCAGCGGUCUAGCCCCUCUGAAAACUUUUAUAAGUUGACCUCGGAUCAGGUAGGAAUACCCGCUGA